Schistocerca serialis cubense is the source of this 4469-nucleotide long non-coding RNA. RefSeq lists it as uncharacterized. The transcript is spliced from 2 exons. Lineage: Eukaryota; Metazoa; Arthropoda; Insecta; Orthoptera; Acrididae. The record is from RefSeq and is a predicted model, not a curated record.
AACCGCCCGGCUGCCCUCGAUCAGUAAGGGCAGAACAGUCGUGCAUCUGCAGUCUUGUUCGUCGGUGCAGGGAGUAAUUUUCGGGUGUCAGCAUCCUCUGUGUCGGCUGACGUAACAGUUGGCGGAUGGAGAGAAGUACGUGCAGGUUUCGUGGCGUAAGCGCAAAUCGGUUCCACACUACGAGCGUCCGCCCGUGUGAUGACAGAGCGGAACUGACAGGUGCCUGGACUAGAGAGCCUGUAUACAGAGAGAGUGGCCAUAGGUGAAGUUGCCCGUGAUUGGUUGAUUAGCUUUGGCAGAAAAAUGGCGCCAAACGUCUCUCGCGCUUCCUAUGUUCGCCGUGCUUUUGAGUUGAAGUUCAGAGGACUUUUGGAAACGAUUAAAAGGUGGCUGGAGACGUCGCGAGGCAGCCUUCAGCCAUAGAGAGACUGCUGGCCGUGGGAACGCGCGCCUGCUCUGGCCCAGGACGUCGCGAGGCAGCCGAGUCCCGCCGCUGUCGGCAUCGAGCGCGCUGCGUUCGGCUUUUCCCAGUCUUCGGGCUCAGGCAAGUCCGCGUGCAGGCAGGUUCGGUAGCGAGCAGUUUACAUCGCAGACGGAACCUCCGUCCACAGGCCGUGGCGGGCCCACCGGUACCUACUGACCGCCGCUGUCAUCCUUCGCCAGAGCCGCCACCGGAUGCGGUACGGAGGGGCGCGGGGUCUGGUCAGCACACCGCCCUCCCGGCCGUGGUCAGCUUCUGUGACGGGGAAGUGCUGCUGCUCGACCAGAUGCUCAGUGGCAUCGCGAGGCUGACUGCACCGCGAUCGGCUCGUACCUAGCAGUACUGGGAUGUCUGGGUGGAAGCCAGCCGCGGAGCUGUGUAAUGUAUGACACUUCUCCAGCAGACGAGAAUGUAAUCCGCACUGUCAGCAGUGGUCGACGCUUUCAUUACUGCCGUAAAUUUGUCUUCGACAUUACGUGAAAACCGACGCGUGGACAGUGAAGUAUCCAUCCUUACCUUCUGUUGUUCUAUCGUCCUCUGUCACUUUGGGUUACUCUAAUUAUAACGUAAUGAAUCGAGGGUACAGAAUCGACGUCGUCGUCCCUUCUCGAGGAUUAUUAUCUGGAUGUGCUGUAGCUUAUAGCAGAUUUACUCUUUUCCUACUUCAUUCUUCGUAUGCUGAAUUUUGUAUUUCUCUUGCGGUAGGUAUUCUCCUUACACUUCAUUCCUGUUCUUCUUUCUCUGGUUGCGUGGGUCACCCGUAGCUGCUCACUCAGCAGAUCUGGCCAUCUCGCGGCCGUCAGCCACUGCACCUGGUUGCCCAGAGCACUGGCAAGACAGUUUCUUGAAUUCCUCGCAGACUGCCGGGAUCGAUCUCUUCGCAUCGCAAUCUCAGCAGUCCCGUGCAGCACUGCUGGGCUGACGUCGCACGGCAGCUGCAGUGCCUCACUUUGCACCAUCUGUGGCCUUUCCACAUGCUAUGCCAGCAUGCUCGAGCACUGCCAAGUACAGCAGUAGUAUAGCUAACUGUGUUUUGGUGCAUUUUGUUAUUGCGGGUUGUCUACAUCAGGGCAGGUAUGCACUCAGGGGUGGACCUAUUGUUCUCCUUUGAUUGACAGGUACUUAAACUAUUGUUCCCCUAAAAGGAUCCUUUUAGCAGAACAAUAGGUUAAGUACCUGCCAAUCAAAAGGAAGGAUCCUUUCAGCAGAACUAUAAGUACCUGUCAAUCAAAGGAGAACAAUAGGUUUGCCCCUGAGUGCAUACCUACCCCUGAUGUAGGCAACCCGUACUAACAAAAUGCACUGAAACGCAGUUAGCUAUACUACUUACAGUGUGAGGCCGCAGUGUGAUGGAAUCGUCGUCAUGGGGUUCAGCAGUGGCUGAAGCAUGUGCGUUCUGCCUAGUGCAUUACCAAUCGCCUCCCUGACGAGUGGCUUCCACCUUAGGUGUCAGUCCACUGCGACACCGAGGUAUCUGCUGGUGUCAGACCGGUGUAUGGGACCUCCCACAAUCUGUAACGGCUGCAGCUCUGGCGGAAUCUUCUCUCUGGUGAAAAUCACGGCCUGACUUUUGAACUUGAGCCGCCACUUGGCGGUCAGUGCUCCGAGCUCACUGCAGGCCAGUUGCAGGCGGCAUUUCUUCAGUUCUGCGUUCGUGCUUCGCGGUAAAAGCGCCAGGACCCCUCUACCGUGAAGAGGCAGUACAGGAGGGGGCCGAGGACGGACCCCUGUGGUACAUCUGUUCUCAUGGAAUGUGCUGUCGAUUGCCCAUCAUCUGCGCGAACGUGGAAGCUGCGCCCAGUCGACUACGGUCGGAGCAGACGGGCGUGCCAUGUACCAGAAGUUGAAACGUGAGGUGGUCGUGGCACACGCUGUAGAAGGUUCUGGAGGCGUCAAGGAGUACCGCCGCGAGGUACUAGCGUCGCUCCAGUGCCGCCUUCGGCAGGUCCGCUACACAUAUGAGUUGAUGCUGUGCUGAGUCGUCUGUUCAGAAGCCGAACUGCUCGUCUGGAAGGAGGCCUUCAUCACUCACGUGGCGCAACAGCCGGUUGGAGUACAGCCUCUCUACCACUUUGGAGAUGGCAGGUAGCAGGCUGAUGGACAAGUAGCUCUCCGCCAGCCUGCCUUUACGACUGGCUACCACCUCCCCAUGUUUCCAUGCAGUCGCUUUAGAAUAAUAACGGUCACCAGUCCCAACAGCAGCCGAUUUUAUUUAAUACACGACCAGUUUCGGGCUUGUGCCCAUCUUGGGUAGUUUACGUUUACACGUUAAACAGUGAUCUCCAUCACACAGUACAGAAACUUGUGCCUGAGUGUCAACUAGCUCAAGGCGGGCAGAAGCCCAAACCCGAUGUGUAUUAAAUAAAAUCGCCUUCCAUCGUGACUGGUAGCUGUUAUUAUUCUACAUCCUAUAAACGAUCAGUCGCGGAGUUCUGCUACAUUCAUUAUGCAUAAAAUACAUAUAAAGAAACGAAUUUUUCAUGCUAUACACGGUUCGCCUUAAUUAUUUCAAAGGUGUUCACACGAUUUUGGUUUAAAUACUGGACAUCGUACACUGAGGAUACAAACGGGUUUUGCCAAAAGUGAAUGUACACUGUCCAGUACAUAAAACAAAAUAGUGUACACAGAAAUAUGUAUACACAGCAGAGCACUGAUAACGCCCAUCAAACAAUAAACUCGAAACACGUAUGGCACGAAAAAUUUGUUUCAUUCUGUUUUAAUAAGAGGAACCCAAAGCGAUAAUAAUUAACAUAAACUUACAUCAUUAUGUGAAGUAGUUUAGUUAGCGCUUCGCACGGUGUAAGAUGUUAAUAUGUGGCUGUGUGAAGAUCGAAGUGGCUCUCCGGAAACCGAUAACGGCCUGCAUGAAAAUAUUCUUACUAUUGGUGCCGUAAAAUAAUCUGGAAGAACGUAGGUUAAAAUCUAACGACGGCGUGGACGGAGGAGAGCACGGUGAGAGCAAAAGCUUAGUAUCUUUACGAUGAAAUGGAAAAUAACAUUCGGAAUUCCUGAAAAGACCUUCCUUUGCAUUUGCUUAAAGUGAUCUACGGUAACCAAGGAAAAAUCGGAAUGGGUUUGCGAGGAUUUAAUCUGGUUGCCUCAAAGAGUGGGCCCAUGGUCGUAUGAAUCUCUUUUAAUACGUAACAGCAGGUUGCAGACCUCCGCUCUGUAGGAAAGGUCAACAUUAAGGUGAGCGUACAUUGUCGCCCCUAACUUCUGAAAUGCGUUGACUGUAAUAUUUCUGGCUUAGUCAGCCAUCAUAUUAGGCUCCAAGAAGCUGUUCCCAGAGCAAUGUAGAUGCAAGAAGUCUAUAGAUGACGAAAUGUGGUGUGAGGUACCUGUGACAGAUUCGGUACCAUUCCCGUGAGGAAGACCGCCUGCAUAAUGCUACUGCUCUGUGAUUGGCUGCUGUGUUCGGAGCAAGGGCGCCAAAACGUUAAAGUAUAGUUAUUAUUAUUAGUUAAACUACUCAUUGGAAUGACUUCACUUUUUAAUAUAAAUAUCUCUCAACAGCUGACUAUGAAUCAGUCAUUUUAGAAUUAUUAAAAACAAUUUAAAUAAAAAACAAAAGACUGACGAAAUUGCAGACGAAGCACUUCGGAAGCAUUCGGGUCACGCCUUUUCUGGUAUGGCGCGCGAAGUGUUUCGGGCUGUUCGUCACUCUGGAUUAGACAGUCGAGAAGAACAGACACGUUGUCUGUCAUAGGAAGAGUUUCCAACUUUUAUUUAAGUUCCUGUUCGUCACUCUGCUUUAGGCAGUCGAGAAGAACAGUCAUGUUGUCUAUCGCAAGAUGUGUUUGCCAGUAUUCAGUAUUAAAAGAUUCACUCUGGUAGUCAUGAGGCACAGACACUUGCCACAAAUAGUGUUAAGAUACAUUUUCGUAAACAUUGUGUUUGAUCAUGUACUUUGCUGUAUCAGAAGGUGUUGUGAUAAGGUCAUGUAGUCUUCUCGUGUGGCUAUAUUAAAAUACGCGAGUGGCAUCCCAAA